Molecule: ribosomal RNA, 253 nt
Filed under: uncultured bacterium
Lineage: Bacteria
Description: partial 16S ribosomal RNA
Rfam family: Bacterial small subunit ribosomal RNA
Source: RNAcentral
UACGUAGGUUCCGAGCGUUAUCCGGAUUUACUGGGCGUAAAGCGCGUUCAGGCGGUUUGGCAAGUCGGGCGUGAAAUCUCUCGGCUCAACCGGGAGAGGUUGUCCGAUACUGCUGGACUUGAGGGCAGUAGAGGGUGGUGGAAUUCCGGGUGUAGUGGUGAAAUGCGUAGAUAUCCGGAGGAACACCAGUGGCGAAAGCGGCCCCCUGGACUGUACCUGACGCUGAGACGCGAAAGCUAGGGGAGCGAACGGG